This 1368-nucleotide ribosomal RNA is filed under the name uncultured bacterium. RNAcentral describes it as "bacterial SSU rRNA". It matches the Rfam family "Bacterial small subunit ribosomal RNA". The record is from RNAcentral.
AGAGUUUGAUCCUGGCUCAGGACGAACGCUGGCGGCGUGCCUAACACAUGCAAGUCGAGCGAGUGAAUCUCCUUCGGGAGUGAAGCUAGCGGCGGACGGGUGAGUAACACGUGGGCAACCUGCCUCAUAGAGGGGAAUAGCCUUUCGAAAGGAAGAUCAAUACCGCAUAAGAUUGUAGCUUCGCAUGAAGUAGCAAUUAAAGGAGCAAUCCGCUAUGAGAUGGGCCCGCGGCGCAUUAGCUAGUUGGUGAGGUAACGGCUCACCAAGGCGACGAUGCGUAGCCGACCUGAGAGGGUGAUCGGCCACAUUGGGACUGAGACACGGCCCAGACUCCUACGGGAGGCAGCAGUGGGGAAUAUUGCACAAUGGGGGAAACCCUGAUGCAGCAACGCCGCGUGAGUGAUGACGGCCUUCGGGUUGUAAAGCUCUGUCUUCAGGGACGAUAAUGACGGUACUCAACAAGGAAGUGACGGCUAACUACGUGCCAGCAGCCGCGGUAAAACGUAGGUCACAAGCGUUGUCCGGAAUUACUGGGUGUAAAGGGAGCGCAGGCGGGAAGACAAGUUGGAAGUGAAAUCCAUGGGCUCAACCCAUGAACUGCUUUCAAAACUGUUUUUCUUGAGUAGUGCAGAGGUAGGCGGAAUUCCCGGUGUAGCGGUGGAAUGCGUAGAUAUCGGGAGGAACACCAGUGGCGAAGGCGGCCUACUGGGCACCAACUGACGCUGAGGCUCGAAAGUGUGGGUAGCAAACAGGAUUAGAUACCCUGGUAGUCCACACUGUAAACGAUGAUUACUAGGUGUUGGAGGAUUGACCCCUUCAGUGCCGCAGUUAACACAAUAAGUAAUCCACCUGGGGAGUACGACCGCAAGGUUGAAACUCAAAGGAAUUGACGGGGGCCCGCACAAGCAGUGGAGUAUGUGGUUUAAUUCGACGCAACGCGAAGAACCUUACCAAGUCUUGACAUCCUGCGACGGUGCUGGAAACAGUACUUUCCUUCGGGACGCAGAGACAGGUGGUGCAUGGUUGUCGUCAGCUCGUGUCGUGAGAUGUUGGGUUAAGUCCCGCAACGAGCGCAACCCUUAUGGUCAGUUACUACGCAAGAGGACUCUGGCCAGACUGCCGUUGACAAAACGGAGGAAGGUGGGGAUGACGUCAAAUCAUCAUGCCCUUUAUGACUUGGGCUACACACGUACUACAAUGGCGUUAAACAAAGAGAAGCAAGACCGCGAGGUGGAGCAAAACUCAGAAACAACGUCCCAGUUCGGACUGCAGGCUGCAACUCGCCUGCACGAAGUCGGAAUUGCUAGUAAUCGCAGAUCAGCAUGCUGCGGUGAAUACGUUCCCGGGCCUUGCACACACCGCCCGUCA